AGAUAAACCAUCAAACCAGAGUGUUGAGAGCUUGGAAGUUUCAUUACUUGGAGCAAUGAGAGCUUUUGGAAUAACAUCAAUGGCUAGAGGUAUGAAUUUGAUUUGUGGCAUUUUCAGUUUUUCGAUCCCAUUUGUUUUCGCAUAAUUGUUUAGGAUUGGUUUUCAGUCUAACGCUUGAUAUUAGAGCUCCAUAUUGCCUCUAUCUUGGUGUUUCACCAUCAAUCUGCAAAACUCGAUCCUCUUUGGCUAAUUUAUUUUUUUUGAAAAUAAAUGGAGAUUUCUCCAUAGAAUCAAUUUCCUAGCCUCUGAAUGUUGUUUUGAUAUCGAGAGAGUUGGAUUCAAGCCAGGUCAAUUUCAACCCACUGGAGGUUGAAGAUGACUGGAGAAUGUAAUUUUCAAAUCUAUUUUUGUGAUUGUAGUCAGUGAUAUUUACUAGGCCAUCAUGUUUUGUGAUUGUAUAAAACUUUUUUAGUGAUUGGGCCAUCUUAUUAUUACCACAUACAAAGUGUUUAUAGGGCCAUUUUCGAAAUUAUAAGCAAUUUUUUAAUUGGGCCAGAAUUAAUUUAGUGGAAAUUACAUUGCAACAGGUGUAUAAAAUUUACAAUUCAUAUAUUAG
RNAcentral lists this long non-coding RNA (616 nucleotides) under Olea europaea subsp. europaea. The record is from RNAcentral. Lineage: Eukaryota; Viridiplantae; Streptophyta; Magnoliopsida; Lamiales; Oleaceae.